AACGAACGCUGGCGGCAUGCCUAACACAUGCAAGUCGAACGAGACCUUCGGGUCUAGUGGCGCACGGGUGCGUAACGCGUGGGAACCUGCCCUUAGGUUCGGAAUAACUCCCCGAAAGGGGUUCUAAUACCGGAUAAUUUCUUCGUACCAAAGAUUUAUCGCCUUUGGAUGGGCCCGCGUUGGAUUAGCUAGUUGGUAGGGUAAAAGCCUACCACGGCGACGAUCCAUAGCUGGUCUGAGAGGAUGAUCAGCCACACUGGGACUGAGACACGGCCCAGAAUCCUACGGGAGGAAGCAGUGGGGAAUAUAGGAAAAUGGGCGGAAGCCUGAUCCAGCAAUGCCGCGUUAGUGAUGAAGGCCUUAGGGUUGUAAAGCUCUUUUACCCGGGAUGAUAAUGACAGUACCGGGAGAAUAAGCUCCGGCAAACUCCGU
This 432-nucleotide ribosomal RNA is filed under the name uncultured bacterium. RNAcentral describes it as "partial 16S ribosomal RNA". It matches the Rfam family "Bacterial small subunit ribosomal RNA", at positions 29 to 506 of the family's 1533-position model. The record is from RNAcentral.